UGGGACUUGCUCCUUGUGUAGCUGUCUGC
This 29-nucleotide non-coding RNA is filed under the name Rattus norvegicus (Norway rat). Lineage: Eukaryota; Metazoa; Chordata; Mammalia; Rodentia; Muridae. The record is from RNAcentral.